This 1031-nucleotide long non-coding RNA is filed under the name Mytilus galloprovincialis (Mediterranean mussel). The record is from RNAcentral. Lineage: Eukaryota; Metazoa; Mollusca; Bivalvia; Mytilida; Mytilidae.
GUUUGCUUUUUUUUAAUUUCAUAGCUUUUUCUUUUUCUUCGUAUUCUUGAAAAAACGAAUUUAAAUUACCACUGACCAGUACAGUUUUUAAACAACUAUAACAUGUUUGUAAAACAAUUUAACAUGCUAUAAUUUCCUUUAUUUUAUGUAUUUCAUGAUAUAAAUGUAUGACAUCAGACAUCAGACUCGGACUUCUCUUGAACUGAAUUUUUUAAUGUGCGCAUUGUUAUGCGUUUACUUUUCUACAUUGACUAGAGGUAUAGGGGAGGGUUUAGGUCUCAUAAAUAUGUUUAACCCCGCUGCAUUUUUGCACCUGUCCCAAGUCUUUGUUAGUCUUGUAUUAUUUUAAUUUUAGUUUCUUGGUUACAAUUUGGAAAUAAGUAUGACGUUCUCUGCUUGAUCAGGAUUCGCUACUUUGCACCCUCUACAUCAACCCCUACCACCGCGUGCUCUAGUAGAUUUUGGUGGCAUGACUGUGUUGUUUCCGAGAAAUCGACGUAUUAAUUAGAAAUAGUAGGAAUGAUACAGUACUCAUAUGAAACACGAUAUUGACGUUACUGCUAGGAGCGUAACAAGAUCGCGGAAUGAGCGCGUUAUGAACGUAGUAUGGACGUGUUAAAAGUGUGCUGUAAUCGCAGUAAAAGCGUGGAAAGAUGAUGUUGCAAUCGGAUAACUCGUGUUAUGGUCGUAGUGAGAACGUGAAAAGCGUAGAAAGAUAUUGAUAAGCGUAGUGAGGUCGCAGAAUAAGCGCGGCGAGAACGUGGUAUUAUCAUAGCGGGAUCGUUGUAGAAGCGUAAUGAGGACGUAGUCGAAUCGUGAAAGCAACGAAAAUUUAAAUUCUCAUGCCGCUCAUACCGCGACCUCACCACGAUCUGAAUUCAUUUCAGAUCGCGGUGAGCGUGAUGCGAUCGUGGUCUAGUGGGACUGGGGCUUAAACGGUUAUUGAAAAGAAGUGAAAAUAAGCAAAAAUUUAAAAAAAAAACAAUAUGACUUUGACCUUUGACUGCACAAGAAAAUAAAUUAGGGGGAAG